UACGGGGGGGGCAAGCGUUGUUCGGAAUUACUGGGCGUAAAGGGCGCGUAGGCGGCCUACUAAGUCGGACGUGAAAUCCCUCGGCUCAACUGAGGAACUGCGUCCGAUACUGGCGAGGCUUGAAUUCGGGAGAGGGAUGUGGAAUUCCAGGUGUAGCGGUGAAAUGCGUAGAUAUCUGGAGGAACACCGGUGGCGAAGGCGGCAUCCUGGACCGAGAUUGACGCUGAGGCGCGAAAGCUAGGGUAGCAAACGGG
This 254-nucleotide ribosomal RNA is filed under the name uncultured bacterium. Its description in RNAcentral is "partial 16S ribosomal RNA". It matches the Rfam family "Bacterial small subunit ribosomal RNA", at positions 524 to 776 of the family's 1533-position model. The record is from RNAcentral.